This 181-nucleotide ribosomal RNA is filed under the name Omocestus bolivari. Its description in RNAcentral is "partial 18S ribosomal RNA". It matches the Rfam family "Eukaryotic small subunit ribosomal RNA", at positions 1656 to 1831 of the family's 1831-position model. The record is from RNAcentral. RNAcentral also lists the same sequence under 1 other name. Lineage: Eukaryota; Metazoa; Arthropoda; Insecta; Orthoptera; Acrididae.
GCUUUUGUACACACCGCCCGUCGCUACUACCGAUUGAAUGAUUUAGUGAGGUCUUCGGACUGGUACGCGGCAUCGACUCUGUCGUUGCCGAUGCUACCGGAAAGAUGACCAAACUUGAUCAUUUAGAGGAAGUAAGAGUCGUAACAAGGUUUCCGUAGGUGAACCUGCGGAAGGAUCAUUA